GAUGAAGAACGUAGCGAAAUGCGAUACUUGGUGUGAAUUGCAGAAUCCCGUGAACCAUCGAGUCUUUGAACGCAAGUUGCGCCCGAAGCCACUAGGCCGAGGGCACGCCUGCCUGGGCGUCACACGCCGUUGCCCCCCCAUCUACUCCUUCGGGAUUGCGGGGGGGCGGAUGAUGGCCUCCCGUGCGCCUAGCCGCGCGGUUGGCAUAAAUACCAAGUCCUCGGCGACGCACGCCACGACAAUCGGUGGUUGCGAAACCUCGGUUGCCCGUCGUGUGCGUUCGUCGCGCAUCGAGGGCUCGAAAAAAUGCUCGGCUCCGGCUGGGCUUUCAACGCGACCCCAGGUCAGGCGGGGUUACCCGCUGAAUUUAAGCUUAUCAAUAAGCGGAGGA
RNAcentral lists this unclassified non-coding RNA (391 nucleotides) under soil metagenome. RNAcentral describes it as "partial contains 5.8S ribosomal RNA, internal transcribed spacer 2, and large subunit ribosomal RNA". The stretch from base 1 to 122 matches the Rfam family "5.8S ribosomal RNA", at positions 35 to 154 of the family's 154-position model. The record is from RNAcentral.